This 277-nucleotide unclassified non-coding RNA is filed under the name sea anemone metagenome. Its description in RNAcentral is "partial contains small subunit ribosomal RNA and internal transcribed spacer 1". The stretch from base 1 to 156 matches the Rfam family "Eukaryotic small subunit ribosomal RNA", at positions 1678 to 1831 of the family's 1831-position model. The record is from RNAcentral.
GCUACUACCGAUUGAAUGGUUUAGCGAGAUGCUCGGAUCGGGACCAGCUCGUGCGAAAGCAUGUGCCGGGACUGAGAAGAAGUUCAAGCUUGAUCAUUUAGAGGAAGUAAAAGUCGUAACAAGGUUUUCGUAGGUGAACCUGCAGAAGGAUCAAGAUCGGUAUAGCGUCUUGUAUUGAUUGCGUGUAGAUCUCGGUUGUCGCCGUAUCUUUAAAUAUAUCAUUUCUUCCCCCUUUUCUCUCCUCCUUCUUCCCCCUCCUCUUUUUCCUCUCUUCCCU